UGGGGUGUCGCCAAGCGGUAAGGCAGCGGGUUUUGAUCCCGCCAUACGUAGGUUCGAAUCCUACCACCCCAGCCA
This 75-nucleotide transfer RNA is filed under the name Porticoccaceae bacterium. RNAcentral describes it as "tRNA-Gln". It matches the Rfam family "tRNA". From Rfam's summary of the family: Transfer RNA (tRNA) molecules are approximately 80 nucleotides in length. Their secondary structure includes four short double-helical elements and three loops (D, anti-codon, and T loops). Further hydrogen bonds mediate the characteristic L-shaped molecular structure. tRNAs have two regions of fundamental functional importance: the anti-codon, which is responsible for specific mRNA codon recognition, and the 3' end, to which the tRNAs corresponding amino acid is attached (by aminoacyl-tRNA synthetases). tRNAs cope with the degeneracy of the genetic code in two manners: having more than one tRNA (with a specific anti-codon) for a particular amino acid; and 'wobble' base-pairing, i.e. permitting non-standard base-pairing at the 3rd anti-codon position. Lineage: Bacteria; Pseudomonadati; Pseudomonadota; Gammaproteobacteria; Cellvibrionales; Porticoccaceae. The record is from RNAcentral.